UACGUAGGGGGCGAGCGUUGUCCGGAUUUAUUGGGCGUAAAGAGCGUGUAGGCGGCCAGGUAGGUCUGCUGUGAAAACUCGAGGCUCAACCUCGAGACGUCGGCGGAAACCAUCUGGCUAGAGUCCGGAAGAGGAGAGUGGAAUUCCUGGUGUAGCGGUGAAAUGCGCAGAUAUCAGGAGGAACACCGAUGGCGAAGGCAGGUCUCUGGGCCAUAACUGACGCUGAGAAGCGAAAGCAUGGGGAGCGAACAGG
Molecule: ribosomal RNA, 253 nt
Filed under: uncultured bacterium
Lineage: Bacteria
Description: partial 16S ribosomal RNA
Rfam family: Bacterial small subunit ribosomal RNA
Source: RNAcentral